GAUGAACGCUGGCGGCGUGCCUAAUACAUGCAAGUCGAGCGAACAGACGAGGAGCUUGCUCCUCUGACGUUAGCGGCGGACGGGUGAGUAACACGUGGAUAACCUACCUAUAAGACUGGGAUAACUUCGGGAAACCGGAGCUAAUACCGGAUAAUAUAUUGAACCGCAUGGUUCAAUAGUGAAAGACGGUUUUGCUGUCACUUAUCGAUGGAUCCGCGCCGCAUUAGCUAGUUGGUAAGGUAACGGCUUACCAAGGCGACGAUGCGUAGCCGACCUGAGAGGGUGAUCGGCCACACUGGAACUGAGACACGGUCCAGACGCCUACGGGAGGCAGCAGUAGGGAAUCUUCCGCAAUGGGCGAAAGCCUGACGGAGCAACGCCGCGUGAGUGAUGAAGGUCUUCGGAUCGUAAAACUCUGUCAUUAGGGAAGAACAAAUGUGUAAGUAACUAUGCACGUCUUGACGGUACCUAAUCAGAAAGCCACGGCUAACUACGUG
RNAcentral lists this ribosomal RNA (497 nucleotides) under uncultured bacterium. Its description in RNAcentral is "partial 16S ribosomal RNA". It matches the Rfam family "Bacterial small subunit ribosomal RNA", at positions 28 to 507 of the family's 1533-position model. The record is from RNAcentral.